Molecule: small nucleolar RNA, 103 nt
Organism: Rhinolophus ferrumequinum (greater horseshoe bat)
Lineage: Eukaryota; Metazoa; Chordata; Mammalia; Chiroptera; Rhinolophidae
Source: Ensembl
GUCCUUUUGUAGUUCAUACGCGUGAUGGUUGGCUGUUCACACUCUUGUGUGAGAUGUGCCUCCCUCACACUUUGUUACACGUCAGCACAUUACCCAUCUGACG